Molecule: non-coding RNA, 107 nt
Organism: Helianthus annuus (common sunflower)
Lineage: Eukaryota; Viridiplantae; Streptophyta; Magnoliopsida; Asterales; Asteraceae
Source: Rfam
AGUCGAUUGUGCGGACACUUUUUUAAAAGUUCCUUAAAACGUUCUCAUGUUUAAUAUAAAGAUUCCCCAUCAUCUUGUUGAAGAUAAUUAAUUUCAGUCAUUAAUUU